UACGUAGGGUGCGAGCGUUGUCCGGAAUUAUUGGGCGUAAAGGGCUCGUAGGCGGUUUGUCGCGUCGGGAGUGAAAACCCAGGGCUUAACUCUGGGCUUGCUUUCGAUACGGGCAGACUAGAGGUAUGCAGGGGAGAACGGAAUUCCUGGUGUAGCGGUGAAAUGCGCAGAUAUCAGGAGGAACACCGGUGGCGAAGGCGGUUCGCUAGGACGGUACUGACGCUGAGACGCGAAAGCGUGGGGAGCGAACAGG
This 253-nucleotide ribosomal RNA is filed under the name uncultured bacterium. RNAcentral's name for it is "partial 16S ribosomal RNA". It matches the Rfam family "Bacterial small subunit ribosomal RNA", at positions 524 to 776 of the family's 1533-position model. The record is from RNAcentral.